UCGGGAAUUUUGGGCAAUGGGCGAAAGCCUGACCCAGCAACGCCGCGUGAAGGAUGAAGUAUUUCGGUAUGUAAACUUCGUAAGAAUAGGAAGAAUAAAUGACGGUACUAUUUGUAAGGUCCGGCUAACUACGUGCCAGCAGCCGCGGUAAUACGUAGGGACCAAGCGUUGUUCGGAUUUACUGGGCGUAAAGGGCGCGUAGGCGGCAUGACAAGUCACUUGUGAAAUCUCUGGGCUUAACCCAGAACGGCCAAGUGAUACUGUCGCGCUAGAGUGCAGAAGGGGCAAUCGGAAUUCUUGGUGUAGCGGUGAAAUGCGUAGAUAUCAAGAGGAACACCUGAGGUGAAGACGGGUUGCUGGGCUGACACUGACGCUGAGGCGCGAAAGCCAGGGGAGCAAACGGGAUUAGAUACCCUCGUAGUCCCUGAGCGGGCUGGCAAGGCGCAU
This 447-nucleotide ribosomal RNA is filed under the name uncultured bacterium. Its description in RNAcentral is "bacterial SSU rRNA". It matches the Rfam family "Bacterial small subunit ribosomal RNA", at positions 355 to 825 of the family's 1533-position model. The record is from RNAcentral.